This 872-nucleotide ribosomal RNA is filed under the name Claviceps purpurea f. secalis. RNAcentral's name for it is "LSU rRNA". It matches the Rfam family "Eukaryotic large subunit ribosomal RNA", at positions 38 to 938 of the family's 3401-position model. Lineage: Eukaryota; Fungi; Ascomycota; Sordariomycetes; Hypocreales; Clavicipitaceae. The record is from RNAcentral.
GCAUAUCAAUAAGCGGAGGAAAAGAAACCAACAGGGAUUGCCCCAGUAACGGCGAGUGAAGCGGCAACAGCUCAAAUUUGAAAUCUGGCCCCUUGGGGCCCGAGUUGUAAUUUGCAGAGGAUACUUUUGGCGAGGCGCCUUCCGAGUUCCCUGGAACGGGACGCCAUAGAGGGUGAGAGCCCCGUCUGGUUGGAUGCCGAGCCUCUGUAAAGUUCCUUCGACGAGUCGAGUAGUUUGGGAAUGCUGCUCUAAAUGGGAGGUAUAUGUCUUCUAAAGCUAAAUAUUGGCCAGAGACCGAUAGCGCACAAGUAGAGUGAUCGAAAGAUGAAAAGCACUUUGGAAAGAGGGUUAAAAAGCACGUGAAAUUGUUGAAAGGGAAGCGCUUGUGACCAGACGUGGGCCUGUCGGAUCAUCCAGCGUUCUCGCUGGUGCACUCCGGCGGGCUCAGGCCAGCAUCAGCUCGUCCCGGGGGACAAAGGCAGCGGGAAUGUGGCUCCUUCGGGAGUGUUAUAGCCCGCUGCGUAAUGCCCUGGGGCGGGCUGAGGUUCGCGCAUCUGCAUGGAUGCUGGCAUAAUGGUUAUCAGCGACCCGUCUUGAAACACGGACCAAGGAGUCGUCUUCGUAUGCGAGUGUUCGGGUGUCAAACCCCUACGCGUAAUGAAAGUGAACGCAGGUGAGAGCUUCGGCGCAUCAUCGACCGAUCCUGAUGUUCUCGGAUGGAUUUGAGUAAGAGCAUACGGGGCCGGACCCGAAAGAAGGUGAACUAUGCCUGUGUAGGGUGAAGCCAGAGGAAACUCUGGUGGAGGCUCGCAGCGGUUUCUGACGUGCAAAUCGAUCGUCAAACAUGGGCAUGGGGGCGAAAGACUAAUCGA